AUACGGAGGGGGCUAGCGUUGUUCGGAAUUACUGGGCGUAAAGCGCGCGUAGGCGGUUUGCCAAGUCAGACGUGAAAGCCCCGGGCUCAACCCGGGAACUGCGCUUGAUACUGGCAUGACUAGAGGCCAGGAGAGGGUAGUGGAAUUCCCAGUGUAGAGGUGAAAUUCGUAGAUAUUGGGAAGAACACCAGUGGCGAAGGCGGCUCUCUGGACCGGUACUGACGCUGAUGUGCGAAAGCGUGGGGAGCAAACAGGAUUAGAAACCCCAGUAGUCC
RNAcentral lists this ribosomal RNA (275 nucleotides) under uncultured bacterium. RNAcentral describes it as "partial 16S ribosomal RNA". It matches the Rfam family "Bacterial small subunit ribosomal RNA", at positions 523 to 796 of the family's 1533-position model. The record is from RNAcentral.